Molecule: ribosomal RNA, 444 nt
Filed under: uncultured soil bacterium
Lineage: Bacteria
Description: bacterial SSU rRNA
Rfam family: Bacterial small subunit ribosomal RNA
Source: RNAcentral
AGAUUGAACGCUGGCGGCAUGCUUUACACAUGCAAGUCGAACGGUAACAGGCCGCAAGGUGCUGACGAGUGGCGAACGGGUGAGUAAUGUAUCGGAACGUGCCCAGUCGUGGGGGAUAACGCAGCGAAAGCUGCGCUAAUACCGCAUACGAUCUAUGGAUGAAAGCGGGGGACCGUAAGGCCUCGCGCGAUUGGAGCGGCCGAUAUCAGAUUAGGUAGUUGGUGGGGUAAAGGCUCACCAAGCCAACGAUCUGUAGCUGGUCUGAGAGGACGACCAGCCACACUGGGACUGAGACACGGCCCAGACUCCUACGGGAGGCAGCAGUGGGGAAUUUUGGACAAUGGGCGCAAGCCUGAUCCAGCAAUGCCGCGUGCAGGAAGAAGGCCUUCGGUUGUAAACUGCGUUUGUACGGAACGAAACGGUCCGUGGUUAAUACCGUGGGAC